UGAAAUGACAGGUCUGUGCCUCUAUGCCUA
RNAcentral lists this non-coding RNA (30 nucleotides) under Mus musculus (house mouse). The record is from RNAcentral. Lineage: Eukaryota; Metazoa; Chordata; Mammalia; Rodentia; Muridae.